CAAUAGCGUAUAUUAAAGUUGUUGCGGUAAAAAAGCUCGUAGUUGGAUUUCUGUUGAGAGCGACCGGUCCAUACCAUGUAUGCGUAUCUGGCUUGCUCUCGGCAUCCUCUCGAUAAACGUUACUGCGCUUGAUUGCGUGGUGCGGAUCUCGGGACUUUUACUUUGAGGAAAUUAGAGUGUUCACGGCAGGCUUUCGCCAGAAUACAUUAGCAUGGAAUAAUACUAUAGGAUCUUGGUUCUAUUUUGUUGGUUUCUAGAAUUGAGAUAAUGAUUAAUAGGGACAAUUGGGGGCAUUCGUAUCAACACGUCAGAGGUGGAAUUCUUGGAUUGUGUUGCGACGAACUACUGCGAAAGCAUUUGCCAAGGAUGUUUUCAUUGA
This 379-nucleotide ribosomal RNA is filed under the name uncultured eukaryote. RNAcentral's name for it is "partial 18S ribosomal RNA". It matches the Rfam family "Eukaryotic small subunit ribosomal RNA", at positions 592 to 976 of the family's 1831-position model. The record is from RNAcentral.